CUUCUCUCUCCAAAACCAGUAUCCCUGGGUUUUGUCUGCCUUCCUGUUCAGUUCUCAAGUGCCAGGUGCCAGUACCCUCAGCAGAUAUUGUGAGGUGCCGGUACUCUGAAGAGAAAAACAAAGAGCUGCUGGUGCUGCAUAACUGUGAAAUAUGGCCCAUAGUUAUGACUCCAAAUGAUCAGUGGACGUCUCUGCCUGUGACUGCAAGCUGCCUGUAGUCAGACUGAUACACAGGACCUGGUUUCCUUACAGCCAUAAACAUCUAAGCAAUGGCUCACCAAGAGGUUUGGCUACAGCAUUUCGGCAUUUGAUGCAUUUUGUCCAUAAAUACCAGACACUGAACGGCAGGGAAGCUUAAGCUGAGUAGCGAUUUUCAGCUGAAGGUUGCUGAACAUAUCAGACAAAAAGCUCCCUCUCCACAGUGCUCUUCCCCAGGCUACUCCCGUACUGUACCGCCCUACACCAAAUGGUACAGAUGGGCUGCAACAGAAUAACUUAAUCUAAAAUAUGUAUAAUUAUA
Non-coding RNA from Paramormyrops kingsleyae, 520 nucleotides. The record is from RefSeq and is a predicted model, not a curated record. NCBI's taxonomy places the organism in Eukaryota, Metazoa, Chordata, Actinopteri, Osteoglossiformes, Mormyridae.